UACGUAGGAUACAAGCGUUAUCCGGAGUUACUGGGCGUAAAGGGCGCGUAGGCGGUUUCGUAAGUCUGGCGUGAAAUUUCUCGGCUUAACCGGGAAAGGUCGUCGGAUACUGCGGAGCUAGAGGACGGUAGAGGCGUGUGGAAUUCCGGGUGUAGUGGUGAAAUGCGUAGAGAUCCGGAGGAACACCAGUGGCGAAGGCGACACGCUGGGCAGUACCUGACACUGAUGCGCGACAGCAUGGGGAGCAAACAGG
Molecule: ribosomal RNA, 253 nt
Filed under: uncultured bacterium
Lineage: Bacteria
Description: partial 16S ribosomal RNA
Rfam family: Bacterial small subunit ribosomal RNA
Source: RNAcentral